Molecule: ribosomal RNA, 246 nt
Filed under: uncultured bacterium
Lineage: Bacteria
Description: partial 16S ribosomal RNA
Rfam family: Bacterial small subunit ribosomal RNA
Source: RNAcentral
GCAAGUCGAACGGUAACAGAGAAUAGCUUGCUAUUUUGCUGACGAGUGGCGGACGGGUGAGUAAUGCUUGGGAACAUGCCUUGAGGUGGGGGACAACAGUUGGAAACGACUGCUAAUACCGCAUAAUGUCUACGGACCAAAGGGGGCUUCGGCUCUCGCCUUUAGAUUGGCCCAAGUGGGAUUAGCUAGUUGGUAAGGUAAUGGCUUACCAAGGCGACGAUCUCUAGCUGGUUUGAGAGGAUGAUC